AGUGAACGCUGGCGGUAGGCCUAACACAUGCAAGUCGAACGGCAGCACAGUAAGAGCUUGCUCUUACGGGUGGCGAGUGGCGGACGGGUGAGGAAUACAUCGGAAUCUACUUUUUCGUGGGUGAUAACGUAGGGAAACUUACGCUAAUACCGCAUACGACCUACGGGUGAAAGCAGGGGAUCUUCGGACCUUGCGCGAUUGAAUGAGCCGAUGUCGGAUUAGCUAGUUGGCGGGGUAAAGGCACACCAAGGCGACGAUCCGUAGCUGGUCUGAGAGGAUGAUCAGCCACACUGGAACUGAGACACGGUCCAGACUCCUACGGGAGGCAGCAGUGGGGAAUAUUGGACAAUGGGCGCAAGCCUGAUCCAGCCAUACCGCGUGGGUGAAGAAGGCCUUCGGGUUGUAGAGCCCUUUUGUUGGGAAAGAAAAGCAGCAGGUUAAUACCCCGCUGUUCUGACGGUACCUAAAGAAUAAGCACCGGCUAACUUCGUG
This 492-nucleotide ribosomal RNA is filed under the name uncultured bacterium. Its description in RNAcentral is "partial 16S ribosomal RNA". It matches the Rfam family "Bacterial small subunit ribosomal RNA", at positions 29 to 507 of the family's 1533-position model. The record is from RNAcentral.